Meleagris gallopavo (turkey) is the source of this 3279-nucleotide non-coding RNA. NCBI's taxonomy places the organism in Eukaryota, Metazoa, Chordata, Aves, Galliformes, Phasianidae. The record is from RefSeq and is a predicted model, not a curated record.
CUUGUUCUGGAGAUCCCUCCUGUGGAAUUUUGCAGUGAGCCCAAGAUGCAUAAUCUAAAUUGUGCCUACAUUGACUGUUGGAACUCGUCUGUGAAUCUAAGAGCUCAUCUACUAUGCAAAGCUUGAGAAGAUUACAGGGAUUUUCUGGAUAAAAGGAUGCUGAGAGGUGACCUAAUUGCUCUCUGCAGUUCCCUGGGGAGGAGAAGCAAAGAGAGGUGCCAGGCUCUGCUCCUGGAAACUAAUGGCAGCAUGAGAAUGGCAAAACCCUGCUCCAAGGGAGGGUCAGACUGGACAUUAGGAAAUAUUUCUGUGCUGUGAUGGUGUCAAGCACCAAAACAAGUUUCUUAUAGAGGUGGAUGAUGCCUCAUGACUCUCAGAGUUCAAGAGACAUUUGGACAAUGCCCUCAAUAAUGUGCUUACCUAUUGGUUAGAUCUGAAGAGGUCAGGCAGUUGGACUUAUCUUUGCAGAUCCCUUCCAGUUGAGCUAUUCUUUUCUAUUUUAAAAGAUAGAACAUGCUGAACAGAAUUGAUUCAAUCUUAUAAGGCUGAGGUGCUAUAGGAAGCCUUCAGGAACCUACUUUUAAAAAUACGUUUUCAUAAUGUAAAAACUUAGGUGAUUUCUUGUCUAUGUCUUUCUCAACUGAAAGUUUUUAAUGAGCUGUGUAGAUCCAUCCUGACGACCCAAGUGAUUUUCUGUAUCAUAGAAGAUAUUUUCAUUUUAUUUGAAGGAUUCCUUAUUCUCAAAUAUAAAAAGUGCAUGUAAACAGUUCCUGGAAAUUUAUGCUCUAGCAAAACAAAUAGCAAAGCUCUAGAAUAAUCUUCCCUUUGCAAAACCUACUAACUUGUGAAAUGAAAGAAUAAGCCAUCAUAGAUGAAAAAAUUUUUAAAGUAAGAGACAAGAAAAUGAAAAGCAUGCUAAUUAUCAAAAACUCUAUAAUUUUACUUUAAGCACUUUGUAAUUAGUGCACACAUUUCUCAGAUAUCUGCUAUUUAUCUUGAAUUUUUUUUUGAAGCAGGCUUCUAAGCGUAUAAAAAAUUCAUUUUUAUUUAUACUUUUCUACUUAAUGUGUUAUAGCUACAGUUUUGCACAUAAUAACACACAAUGAAAACACAAAACAUGAAAAGUAGAUUUUUUUGUUUAUGAACGACUGUAAUUAUAGCAUAUUAAUGAGAUAUUUUAUGGUUACAUUUUGUGCUAGAAACAGAAUAAAAGAGGAGUACAAGCCCUGCAAUUUAGUUUUGUAACAAUUUAAUUAAAUGUCAUAUGAACACAGUAGAAUAUACUAUUGUUGGACCCAGUCAUUGCAGUAAGGUUGGUGGUAAAGUGGCUGGAAAUUUUUUAGAAUUAUUUGGAUGACUUUCAUUAGUUUAGUAAAUAAUUUAAGUUGGCUGAUGCAGCUUGGUAUUAUGUUUACUGUCCAGCCAUAAUUUUUGUCUAUAUGUUCUUUUUUUCCUCAGGAGUUUUGGAAAAUAAUAGAAAUGUUAUAAAUUGAAAUCAGAUGUUACUCUUUUUAAACCAAGCCUAAACUGAUGUCCCCCUUGCCUAAAGUCCCCUCUAUCAUCAAAGAAACAGUGGCUCUCCUCUUCUGGCCAUCCUCCCUCCUCAUCCAGUCACCCUCUGUGGGCUGUCGCACACCUGCCAAACCAGAUUCCUGCUGUCUCAUGAAACCUGCUUGGAUAACCUCUCCAACCCUUUUAGCCCUGACCUGCAUCAGUAUGGCAUUGCCCACAGAUUACAAGACCUGCAGCUAGGCCAAUGGCCCCAAAUCACCUUGUUGAGUAACUUCAUGAACCUCUGUUCUUUUGGUCCUGCAGUUAAUGUGCUGGUGCUUCGCUAUUGUCAAGUUGCUGGAACUAAGCUCACACUGUGAGAAUAAAUAUUCCCAGUGUGCUGAGCAGGCAGUGACACAGGAACUUGAAGAGCAUAGUGAGGCCUCUGAUACUCAGCUGCAGUCUUCUCUGGUUUUGACGCAUGUAGUUUGACAAUUAUAGCUCAGAAGAUUGCUAAACUACAUUGGCAGCCAUUGGCUCUAGAGUUCUCUACAUCUUUGAAUAAACCUGGUUUUAUUUCCAGCCUAUAAAACAUUUUUGUGGAAAGCAGUUUCACAACACGAAACUGUGUUGAACUAACCUGUAUACUAGCAUGCACAUAUCAUACUCCACACUAAUGAAGUCUAUCAGUAGUGUACCACUAUUAACAGAAAUGCUAUCAUCAUCACUGCUCUUGUCCCCACAAGUCAGUAAGCCUAAGACCAUUUUGAUGUUCAUUUCUUUGGCUGUGUUAGGAUUAGUUAGCUGAGUAACAAGGAAACUAUUAUUUGAAGGAAAACCUAUCAUUUUAUGUGCAAAUAUAAAAUUUUGAGUAAAUUUUUUUUUUUAAAAAAAGCUCUGAUGAAAUUUAACAGUUAUUUAAUUUUUUAACUAUUCAAUAGUGUUUCUUUAAGGACAGUGAAGAUGAAAGUUGUAACACAGACUUCUGCUUGUAGUAAAUUACAUAGUAAUACUUCUCAAUUUAUCAGUCAGAUGUCUUUAAAGACUUUCUGCUUCUACUUUUCUACAUGCAAUUCUGAUUGACAAAGCUGUAAGCCACACACAUUUUAUACUCACAGUACUUAUGAGAUAGACUACUUGGAGAAAUGGACUGAUAGUUUGGUCGUUUUUCUUGAAUACUUUUAGCUGCAGUAAUGUGACUCAAUGGUAACACUGCUUCUAAACCUCAUCUAACUUAACAAUGUAGUCUGACCACUGAGUAGCCCUUCAUUUCUUAUUUAGUCACAAGGGAAAGGAAAUAGACCACUUCAACUUUAAUAAGGCUUGAAUGAGAAUCUAGUAAUCAAUGCAGCAAAAAUUAAUAGAUAGAAGAUGCUUGCUAUCAAUGGUACGGACUAUUAAAAUUAUUUCUGCAUUGGCCUUUCUGUCUUAUAUUCAGGCUUGGCUUAUUUAACUUUGUUCUCAGUUAUUAAUACAAAGAUAAAUUUUAAUGGGUAACAUUUCUCAAUGCCUUUUUCAUUUUAACAGAAUUUAAGUCAGAGUUAGCAGAAUGCUUCAUCACACUAGAAAGAUUGUCAGUGGGGCUUAAGUUUCUCCAAGGUUUUUGAGAGCUGAAGAUUUUGGUAAGACUUCUAACAUUAUGGUUGUUUCUAUACUUCAUAUUACCUGUUUGAAUGAACAAGUGUAUUAGAUGAAUAAGAAAGCUUUAGGAGAAAGGUUUCUGUACUCUUUUGAAUAUUUUCUUUUUAAUUCUGCAGCACUACUUAUAAGAUUGGUUUUCUUUUUUCU